GAUGAACGCUGGCGGCGUGCUUAACACAUGCAAGUCGAACGGAAAGGCUCCUGCUUGCAGGGGUACUCGAGUGGCGAACGGGUGAGUAACACGUGGGUGAUCUGCCCUGCACUUCGGGAUAAGCCUGGGAAACUGGGUCUAAUACCGGAUAGGACGAUGGUUUGGAUGCCAUUGUGGAAAGUUUUUCGGUGUGGGAUGAGCUCGCGGCCUAUCAGCUUGUUGGUGGGGUAAUGGCCUACCAAGGCGUCGACGGGUAGCCGGCCUGAGAGGGUGUACGGCCACAUUGGGACUGAGAUACGGCCCGGACUCCUACGGGAGGCAGCAGUGGGGAAUAUUGCACAAUGGGCGCAAGCCUGAUGCAGCGACGCCGCGUGGGGGAUGACGGCCUUCGGGUUGUAAACUCCUUUCGCUAGGGACGAAGCGCAAGUGACGGUACCUGGAGAAGAAGCACCGGCUAACUACGUG
RNAcentral lists this ribosomal RNA (465 nucleotides) under uncultured bacterium. Its description in RNAcentral is "partial 16S ribosomal RNA". It matches the Rfam family "Bacterial small subunit ribosomal RNA", at positions 28 to 507 of the family's 1533-position model. The record is from RNAcentral.